This 1342-nucleotide ribosomal RNA is filed under the name bioreactor metagenome. RNAcentral's name for it is "bacterial LSU rRNA". It matches the Rfam family "Bacterial large subunit ribosomal RNA", at positions 545 to 1973 of the family's 2925-position model. The record is from RNAcentral.
AGUACCUGAAACCCUGUGCCUACAAGCACCUGGAGCACGUCAAAGUGUGACAGGGUACUUUUUGUAGAACGGUCCGGCGAGUGUAUGUAUGUAGCAAGGUUAAGGUCUUCAGGACUGAAGCCGAAGGGAAACCGAGUCUGAAUAGGGCGAAGGAGUUGCAUGCAUACGACCCGAAACCGGGUGACCUAUCCAUGUCCAGGUUGAAGUGAGGGUAAAACCUCAUGGAGGACCGAACCAACCCCUGUUGAAAAAGUGGUGGAUGAGGUGUGGAUAGCGGAGAAAUUCCAAUCGAACCCGGAGAUAGCUGGUUCUCCCCGAAAUAGCUUUAGGGCUAGCGUUGUAUGAGAUUACCGGAGGUAAAGCACUGAAUGAGCUAGGGGCCGAGAGGUUACCGAACUCUAUCAAACUCUGAAUGCCGGAUAAUUAUGUACAGCAGUCAGACUAUGUGAGAUAAGUUUCAUAGUCGAGAGGGAAACAGCCCAGACCCACAGCUAAGGUCCCAAAAUGUCGUUAAGUGGAGAAGGAUGUGGAAUUGCACAGACAACCAGGAUGUUGGCUUAGAAGCAGCCAUUCAUUAAAAGAGUGCGUAACAGCUCACUGGUCGAGUGAUUCUGCGCCGAAAAUGUAACGGGGCUAAACGAUAUACCGAAGCUUGGGCUGCAUGGAAACAUGCGGGGUAGGGGAGCGUUGCAUGCGGGGUGAAGCCGUAGCGGAAGCGGCGGUGGACUGCAUGGAAGUGAGAAUGCCGGAAUGAGUAGCGAGAAUUAUGUGAGAAUCAUAAUGGCCGAAAACCUAAGGAUUUUGAAGGAAGGUUCGUCCGCUUCAAGUUAGCCGGAAGCUAAGGUGAGGCCGAAAGGCGUAGCCGAUGCACAUACGGUUGAAAUUCCGUAGCCGUCGAAAGAUUUAAGCGAGGGGACACCACCAAAGUGUGUGACCCGGGCGUUGGUUGACCCGGGCGCAAGGGACUGAAAUUAGAGUAGGGAAGCACACGCAGAGGUGGGCGAGAAAAGCCUCGUGUAUAUCUGAGACGUCCGUACCGCAAACCGACACAGGUAGGUGGGAUGAAAAUUCUAAGGCCAACGGGAGAAUGGUUGUUAAGGAACUCGGCAAGUUGACCCCGUAACUUCGGGAGAAGGGGUGCUCUAGUAAUAGAGCCGCAGAGAAUAGGCCCAGGCGACUGUUUAGCAAAAACACAGCUCUAUGCUAAAUCGAAAGAUGACGUAUAUGGGGUGACGCCUGCCCGGUGCUGGAAGGUUAAGAGGAGGGGUGCAAGCCCUGAAUUGAAGCCCCAGUAAACGGCGGCCGUAACUAUAACGGUCCUAAGGUAGCGAAAUUCCUUGUC